AGGCCAUGGUGAAGGCAUUCUUGGAGCAGAUCCUUGAAUCUCUAGAUAAGUUUGGAAAAUGACUCACUAGGAUUUUGCCUAAAGUGAAGGAUAUCACUUCUAAGUUU
Molecule: small nucleolar RNA, 107 nt
Organism: Macadamia integrifolia
Lineage: Eukaryota; Viridiplantae; Streptophyta; Magnoliopsida; Proteales; Proteaceae
Source: RefSeq, a predicted model, not a curated record